RNAcentral lists this long non-coding RNA (1235 nucleotides) under Cyanistes caeruleus (blue tit). RNAcentral's name for it is "lncRNA (ENSCCEG00000004707.1)". Lineage: Eukaryota; Metazoa; Chordata; Aves; Passeriformes; Paridae. The record is from RNAcentral.
AAAUGGGGAUAAAUUGGUUAAAAAGGGGGGGAAAUGGGUGAAACUUUUUGGCUGCUGACACUGAUCCAGGGCUGGGGAAACAUCACCCCACACCCAGGGGCUGAACUGGGAUGGACUGGGAUGGACUGGGAGGGACUGGGAGGGACUGGGAUGAACUGGGAGGGACUGGGAUGAACUGGGAGGGACUGGAAUGGACUGGGAACACUGGGAUGGAACUGGGAGCAGAGCCUGAGCUGGGCUAGGCUGUGCAGUGGUCACUCACAGGCCCAGCAGUGGUCCAUACCGGUCCAUACUGGUUUAUACUGGUCCAUACUGGUCCAUACCAGUCCAUACUGGUCCAUACUGGUCCAUACUGGUCCAUACUGGUCCAUACUGGUCCAUACCGGUCCAUACUGGUCCAUACUGGUCCAUACCGGUUUAACUGGUCUACACUGGUCUAUACCUUUCCAUACUGGUUUAUUCCAGUCCGUACUGGUCUAUACCGGUCCAUACCAGUCCAAACCAAUCCAUACUGGUCCAUACUGUUCUGUACUGGUCCGUACCAGUCCAUACUGGUUUAUACUGGUCCAUACUGGUCAGUACUGGUCCAUACACAUCCAUACUGGUUUAUACCGGUCUAUACCCGUCCGUACUGGUCCAUACUGGUUUAUACUGGUCUAUACUGGUCCAUACUGGUCCAUACCGGUCCAUACUGGUUUAUACUGGUCCAUACUGGUCUGUACUGGUCCAUACUGGUUUAUACCGGUCCAUACCGGUUUAUACCGGUCCAUACUGGUUUAUACUGGUCCAUACCGGUCCAUAGUGGUUUAUACAGGUCCAUACUGGUUUACACUGGUCCAUACCGGUCCAUACUGGUCCAUACUGGUCCAUACUGGUCCAUACUGGUCCAUACUGGUCUAUACUGGUCCAUACUGGUUUAUACCGGUCCAUACCGGUUUAUACUGGUCCAUACUGGUUUAUACUGGUCCAUACCGGUCCAUACUGGUUUAUACUGGUCCAUACUGGUCUACACCGUCCCGCCCCAGCCGGCGCCGUCCCCCUGGCGCUGUCCCCGGUGAGUUUUCAGGUGCUCCCGGAGGUGGUGUUUGAGCUUGAAGCGUUUGUGGCAGCGGCCGCAGGGGAAGGGCCGCAGGCUCAGGGUCAGCAGGACGUGGCGGUCGCGCUUGGGCCGCGCCGCGAAGCGUUUCCCGCACGCGCAGCCGAAGCGCUUCCCGUCCGCCGGCGCCGCCGCCAGC